RNAcentral lists this ribosomal RNA (302 nucleotides) under uncultured bacterium. RNAcentral's name for it is "bacterial SSU rRNA". It matches the Rfam family "Bacterial small subunit ribosomal RNA", at positions 30 to 329 of the family's 1533-position model. The record is from RNAcentral.
AUUAAACGCUGGCGGCAUGCCUUACACAUGCAAGUCGAACGGCACGCACGGGGGUCAACCCUGGUGGCGAGUGGCGAACGGGUGAGUAAAGCAUCGGAACGUGCCCUGGAGUGGGGGGAUAACGUAGCGAAAGUUACGCUAAUACCGCAUAUUCUGUGAGCAGGAAAGCAGGGGAUCGCAAGACCUUGCGCUCUGGGAGCGGCCGAUGUCGGAUUAGCUAGUUGGUGGGGUAAAGGCCUACCAAGGCGACGAUCCGUAGCGGGUCUGAGAGGAUGAUCCGCCACACUGGGACUGAGACACGG